Molecule: non-coding RNA, 2971 nt
Organism: Sturnus vulgaris (Common starling)
Lineage: Eukaryota; Metazoa; Chordata; Aves; Passeriformes; Sturnidae
Source: RefSeq, a predicted model, not a curated record
ACAUGCGGCGCGCCCAGCAUGGCACAGCCCGGCACUGUGCUCAGCGUCUUCGCCAUGGUCCUGCACACCGCCCUGGGGGAAAGUGGUUGCACCUCAGCAGACGGUGAUGGGACUCUUGGGGAUGAUGAACCAGACAAUUUUGACAUUGACUGCUUCAGCCAGCUGGAAAUUAAGGACUCCUUUAGCAGCCUGACCUGCAAUUUCACCGAGCUGCCUCCUUACAACACUAACUACACCCUGUCACUGUGUACCAAGGAAGACAACAAUUAUGCCUGCUCCAACAUGAAGAAACAGGAAGAUGUAUUCUUCUUACAGUUCAUUGAUAUACUCUCAAACAGAGAUGUUUGCAUGUACUCUGAGAUGAAGAGAAGGGUCUGCAGGAGUCUGGUUAUAACUGACAUUGUUAAGCCCGAAGUUCCAUUCGCUAUAAACAUCACAUAUGAAAGGGAGGCAAAUGAAUAUCUUAUUCGUUACUGUACACCACACUCCAGGAAAAAAUACUUAAAGGACAAAUUAGUACACCAAGUAGCCUAUCGGCAGAAAGAAGGUAGUUGGAAGACAAUAGAGUCACCAUAUCUUCAGGUAAAACUGCUGGGGAAAAACCUUGAAAAUGAAGCAUCAUAUGAGGUGAAAGUACGUUCUCAGCCCAAUGGAGAUUAUUUUAAGGGCACAUGGAGUGAAUGGAGCACUUCCAAGAGCUUCAGGACAGCGCGAGAGCAGCACUCCACAGAAAGCUAUAGCAGUGUGGCCAUGGUUAUACUCUCCAUCCUGGGAUUCAUGCUGUCUGUUGCUAUGAUUGCACUGAUCGUAGUUUUUUGGGAAAACAGGAUCAAGCCUGCUGUAUGGCCAAACCUUCCUGACCAUAAAAAAACGCUGGAGCAGCUAUGCAAGAAGCCAAAAAACAAUUUUGAUACAAGCUUUAACCCAGAGAGUUUUGGUUAUGUUCAUAUCCAUAAAGUGGAUGGGCUUUGGGCAAAAGCUGAACUGGAAAAUUUUCUGCAGCCAUCAACUACUCCAGAGACAAGCCUUCCAGAAAAAUUCAGGAGUGGAUCAGACCUGAAGAUGAUCCCUACAAUGGCAGACAAAAUCAACCUAAACCUGCCAGUGUCUUACGAAGUCCUGCACAGGCUCCUGGGCACCAGCCAGCGUGCAGUCACUGAGGGCAGCUGCAGCUCCAGCACCUAUGAGGUUUGCCACGGCAACAGGGUGCCCCUGCACAACGAUGGUUUCAGCCUUUCCCCCACUUAUCCCCUUGAUCCUUCUGGCCAGCCCCAUCCAGAGCCCCUUAAUGACGACACCAUAUCCCAGAUGCUGCCUAACAGUGACAUGAGAUCACCAAACAAUGAGGAAGCCUAUGUCACAAUGUCCAACUUCUACAAAAUUCAGUAAAUCUCACAAGAAUUACAGCAUGCAAUUUUUUCUCUAACACAAGCAGGAUACUGAAGCUUUCUGGCUUUGUUUUCCUAUAUCCUUCCUUGGAUGCUGCACAUUCUGGAGCACACAUUUGGAGAUAAAGCUGCUACAGCCACACAGUUGCAUGACAGCAAAACGGCGUGGCCACGGGACAUCCAAGCUGCUUUCUUGCACUCUGGACUUGGGGUUUACCUCACUGUGCAGUCUCAGUUCCUCUAGCUCUUUGAAAUUCUCCUUUACCUAGUUAUAUUCACAUUCCCAGAGUCUGAGGGUGAAAAGAGUCCUCUGUUAUCCUCAGAGGAUGAGAUGCUCAGAUUUGUUCUGACUGCUAAUGGUCACGGAGAUGUUGCAAAACCUCAGCUGCAAAACCUUCCAUCUGCCUCUGCCGAGACAGCUUUGUGCCAGGAGACCAGCGGAAUGAAUCAGAUCUGAAAAUCUCUUGUGGCCUUGUUUCAAGAAUAUAUGGCAGAGAGUGGGGCUUGCAUUAAACUCAGUUGCUUGAAUCAGAAUUUAAUGCUGCAGGAGACAGUACAAACCAAGCAGCAAUUCUGGACCACAUCAAGCCAAAACCAACCUUCCCAAGACAGCACUCCAUCUCCUCCACCUCCACCCAGCACCAGGGAAACUUUCGAGUGGGGAGAACCUAACAGCUGCUGUGUGUAAAGGGGCCUCAGAUUUGGCUCAAGGCAUUCCAGUGACAUUAUACAGAAUGAGUUUUAUUGCUGUUUACCGCCAAAGAAAGCAUUAAUUGAUGCAGAAGAAAAAGAUCAAAGCCCUGAGCAUUCAUUUGCUUUAUAGUGCUUUUAUUUCCUUUCAAAAAGUGCUGCUGAUAAUGCUUAUACUGUGAGAACUUGCACAGUGUGACUGUAGAUACAGACAGACUAUACUAGAACGAUACCUUCUUCCAGUGACAAACAAAAAGGGGAUAGAGGAAGAAGCAAAAGCACGUCAGGAAAAUUCUUUGCAGUAUGUGCUAUGCUUCCUUCAAUUUUUGUAAUUCUGUAACACAUUUGUUCGAUGUAUGCAGAUACAACUACUUUCAGCUUUGGUUCGGGAAGAAAUAAAUAAAGCCAAGUAUGCACCAAAGCCAGAAAACCACAAGCAUUUCCUGUCUAUGGCCAACUUAUAUUUAGUCCAUAUAUGAGGAUACAGCCAUGGCUAUAUCUGGGCAAUCUGUCAAGUAGUUUCCUUAUUCUACAUGACAAUUUCUCCAGAGCUGUCUACAAAUUCCUAUCUGCCUCAGUAACCACACAGGAGUAUUUCUCAGCUUUCACAUACUCCAUGUACUUCCUUUAGUUCAGCAUAACUUUCCUUCUCCUCCUUCUGCCUCCAGUGCUCUUACUCAGCUGCUCACCCAGACCCAGCUUGCUGGCACUGAUUUCUCUGUAGCUGCUUUAUGACACAGUGCCUGGAGCUGCUGUGUGCCCGCUGGGCUCCAGCCCCUCUCCUGCAGUCGUGGUGCCACACAGAUGCCCUCCCUCCCAUCUUUGCACUCUCCUGCACUAUGCAAAUGUCUCUUAGCUGUACACAAAUAAACUUAGACUAUUGUCAGUUAUAA